AAGACUGUACUUUCAGGGAUCAUUUCUAUAGUCUGAGCAACUGCCCAACUUUUACACCAACAUCAGUUCCUGCAAAUGGAAAUUGUUUAAGAG
Small nucleolar RNA from Ochotona princeps (American pika), 93 nucleotides. Its record names the gene U3. It matches the Rfam family "Small nucleolar RNA U3". From Rfam's summary of the family: Small nucleolar RNAs (snoRNAs) are involved in the processing and modification of rRNA in the nucleolus. There are two main classes of snoRNAs: the box C/D class, and the box H/ACA class. The record is from Ensembl. NCBI's taxonomy places the organism in Eukaryota, Metazoa, Chordata, Mammalia, Lagomorpha, Ochotonidae.